RNAcentral lists this ribosomal RNA (699 nucleotides) under uncultured bacterium. Its description in RNAcentral is "partial 16S ribosomal RNA". The record is from RNAcentral.
GCUACCUUGUUGCGACUUAGUCCCAAUCACAGAGUUCGCCCUAGGCGUCUGCCUCCCGAAGGUUAGCUCGACGACCUUAGGCGCCCCCCGCUUUCGUGGCUUGACGGGCGGUGUGUACAAAGCUCAGGAACACAUUCACCGCAGUAUACCUGACCUGCGAUUACUAGCGAUUCCGGCUUCAUGCAGGCGAGUUGCAGCCUGCAAUCCGAACUAAGGCGCGCUUUUUGAGGUUUGCUUCCCCUCGCGGGCUCGCUUCCCUUUGUACGCACCAUUGUAGCACGUGUGCAGCCCUGGGCAUAAAGGCCAUGAUGACUUGACGUCCUCCCCACCUUCCUCCGGUUUGACACCGGCAGUCUCCUUAGAGUCCCCGGCAUUACCCGCUGGCAACUAAGGAUAAGGGUUGCGCUCGUUUAAGGACUUAACCCUACAUCUCACGACACGAGCUGACGACAGCCAUGCAGCACCUGUGCAUGUUUCACCCGAAGGCAGACUCAUCCCUUUCAGGCGAGCCAUCCAUGCAUGUCAAACCCAGGAUAAGGUUCUUCGCGUUGCCUCCAAUUAAGCCCCAUGCUCCACCGCUUGUGUGAGCCCUCCCUCCAUUCCUUUGAGUUUCAGCCUUGCCACCAUACUCCCCCGGCGGAGCACUUAAUGCUUUCGCUACCACCGGAUGGCCCAAACCCCCUCCCCUCCAGUGCUCCC